UUCUGGUUGAUCCUGCCGGAGGCGACCGCUAUUGGAGUUCGAUUAAGCCAUGCGAGUCUAGGGGCAAUAGCCUCGGCGUACCGCUCAGUAACACGUGGAUAACCUGCCCUGUUCAGGGGGAUAACCUCGCGAAAGUGAGAAUAAUACCCCAUAGUUCACCAUGCCUGGAACGGUUGGUGGAUAAAAGCUCAGGCGGAACAGGAUGGGUCUGCGGCGUAUCAGGUUGUAGGGGGUGUAAUGGACCUCCUAGCCAUCGACGCGUACGGGUUGUGGGAGCAAUCGCCCGGAGAUGGAUUCUGAGACACGAAUCCAGACCCUACGGGGUGCAGCAGGCGCGAAAACUUGACAAUGCGAGCAAUCGUGAUCAGGGAACUCCAAGUGGACCAGUUUUUACUGGUUUCUGAACCGACUUUAAACAGGUCGGGUAAUAGGGGCGGGAAAUAUCGGUGCCAGCCGCCGCGGUAAUACCGAAGCCCCAAGUGGUCGUCGAUCUUAUUGGGCCUAAAACGUCCGUAGCCGGUUUGGUACAUUCGUGGGUAAAUCAGACAGCUUAACUGUUUGAAUUCUGCGAGCACGGCCAAACUUGAGACCGGGAGAGGUGUAGGGUACCUGCGGGGUAGGGGUAAAAUCCUGUCAUCCCGUAGGGACCA
Molecule: ribosomal RNA, 650 nt
Filed under: uncultured Candidatus Poseidoniales archaeon
Lineage: Archaea; Methanobacteriati; Thermoplasmatota; Candidatus Poseidoniia; Candidatus Poseidoniales
Description: bacterial SSU rRNA
Rfam family: Archaeal small subunit ribosomal RNA
Source: RNAcentral